Podarcis lilfordi (Lilford's wall lizard) is the source of this 70-nucleotide non-coding RNA. Lineage: Eukaryota; Metazoa; Chordata; Lepidosauria; Squamata; Lacertidae. The record is from the annotation of a GenBank genome assembly.
GUGUAGCUCAAUUGGUUAGAGUGUGAUGCUAAUAAUGCCGAUGUUGUGAGUUUAAUCCCCAUAUGGGCCA